This 581-nucleotide long non-coding RNA is filed under the name Zostera marina. RNAcentral's name for it is "long non-coding RNA (ZMAR_LNC003170)". Lineage: Eukaryota; Viridiplantae; Streptophyta; Magnoliopsida; Alismatales; Zosteraceae. The record is from RNAcentral.
CGCCGACAAUGAUCUUUUUACGAUAUCACGACAAAUGGGGGUUCCUAAAGAACAACUUGGGAAAACUCCAAUAAUCACACCUACUUCUUUUCAUCACCUGCAUUACCAACCAGCAACAGGUAAUUCAUUAAUUAAUCAAUUAAUCAACCGAUUAGGGAAUUGACUUAAUUUAGUAUAUAUGUUUAUAAAAUUAUGACCGACCAGUUUUCAUCAACGGAGUCCCUUCAGAAGUCCCAGAAGGAUUGAUCAACAUAAGAGCAACGUUCGGGGAUGAUAAGAUCCUUGUGCAUUCUUCCGGCGAGAUAGUUCCUGUCACCGAAGACGGAUUCCUAUGUCACUGUUUGCAAAUGGGCGAAAGCUAUUUCCUGGUAAUUGACCAAUUCAUCUUAGAAAAUAUCAUUAAUUUCUUGAAUUUUGAUAUAUAUAUAUAUAUACAGAUAUUCUUUUUCCUUGUUUUGAAAAUGUAUGCAGAUUUCCAAGGUUACUCUUUGAAUUUAGGGGUCGAUCCGUGGUCCGUCGAUGUUAAAUGAACUGCUGUUUUACAGAGAUCGCCGUCUAAGUUUACCCUGUCUUCUAAGUAU